GGGUCCGUAGCUCAAUGGUAGAGCAGCAGCCUUUUAAGCUGUUGGUUGAGAGUUCGAGUCUCUCCGGACUCA
This 72-nucleotide transfer RNA is filed under the name bacterium. RNAcentral's name for it is "tRNA-Lys". It matches the Rfam family "tRNA". From Rfam's summary of the family: Transfer RNA (tRNA) molecules are approximately 80 nucleotides in length. Their secondary structure includes four short double-helical elements and three loops (D, anti-codon, and T loops). The record is from RNAcentral.